This 2469-nucleotide ribosomal RNA is filed under the name Triticum aestivum (bread wheat). RNAcentral describes it as "partial small subunit ribosomal RNA". Lineage: Eukaryota; Viridiplantae; Streptophyta; Magnoliopsida; Poales; Poaceae. The record is from RNAcentral.
AUGGAGGCGGUCGAGGAGGAGAAGGAGUACGAGGUGGAGGAGGUGCACGACCGGCUGCAGUCGUCGCGGAACAGCCGGCUGGCGCUCUUCGGCUCCGACCUCCGGCUCGGCCCGCGCCGCCGGCGCCCCCCUCGCCGCCCCGCCGUCGACGGCGAGGACGGGUUCUUCCACGACCACAUCAUCCUCCCCGACAACAAGUUGUAUCUGUUAUGGACCAAGUUCAUACUGGUUUGGGCGGUGUACAGUUCCUUCUUUACGCCCUUUGAAUUCGGCUUCUUCCGGGGCCUCCCCGACAAACUGUUCGUCUUGGACAUAGUUGGGCAGAUUGCCUUCCUCAUUGAUAUUGUUCUCAAGUUUUUCGUGGCCUACCGCGACCCCGACACGUACCGCAUCGUACGCAAUCCGACCUCUAUUGCCCUCCGGUAUUGCAAAUCAAGCUUCAUUUUUGAUCUCCUUGGUUGCUUCCCAUGGGAUAUUAUCUACAAGGCUUGUGGCAGUAAAGAAGAAGUAAGAUACCUAUUGUGGAUCCGUUUAACACGAGCUCUGAAGGUAAUAGAAUUCUUCAGGGAUUUGGAGAAGGAUAUCCGCGUGAAUUAUCUGUUCACAAGGAUAGUGAAACUCAUAGUUGUGGAGCUCUACUGCACGCACACAGCAGCCUGUAUCUUCUAUUACCUGGCCACAACUCUACCCGAGUCAAUGGAAGGAAAUACAUGGAUAGGGAGUUUGAAGUUGGGAGAGUACAGCUAUGAUCAUUUCAGGGAGCUUGAUCUUAUCAAGCUUUAUACCACCUCACUGUACUUUGCAAUCGUCACCAUGGCGACUGUUGGUUAUGGUGACAUUCAUGCUGUAAAUGUCAGGGAAAUGAUAUUUGUCAUGAUCUAUGUCUCCUUUGAUAUGAUUCUUGGAGCUUACCUCAUUGGUAACAUGACUGCGCUUAUUGUCAAAGGCUCGAGAACCGAGCGAUUUAGGGACAAAAUGAAAGAAGUCAUUAGGUAUAUGAACAGAAAUAAACUUGGGAAAGAGAUAAGGGAACAGAUCAAGGGGCAUCUGAGGUUGCAGUACGAGAGCAGCUACACUGAAGCUUCUGUACUUCAGGAUAUCCCUAUUUCAAUUCGUGCAAAGAUUUCUCAAACACUGUACAAGCCAUAUGUUGAGAGCACUCCACUGUUCAAAGGCUGCUCGGCAGAAUUCAUUCAACAGAUUGUCAUCAGACUCCAAGAAGAGUUCUUCCUACCAGGAGAGGUUAUUUUGGAGCAAGGCAGUGCAGUUGAUCAGAUAUACUUUGUCUGUCAUGGUGCACUGGAAGGUGUUGGCAUCGGCGAAGACGGUCAAGAGGAGACUAUUUUGAUGUUGGAGCCCGAGAGUUCUUUCGGAGAAAUCGCUAUCCUCUGCAACAUUCCACAGCCAUACAGUGUUCGUGUUUGCGAACUUUGCAGGCUCUUGCGGCUUGAUAAGCAGUCAUUCACAAACAUACUGGAGAUCUAUUUCGUCGACGGAAGGAAAAUUUUGAGCAAUCUCACAGAUAACAAUGAAUAUGGCGGUCGGGUCAAACAAAUAGAAUCAGAUAUCACAUUCCACAUAGGGAAGCAAGAGGCAGAGCUGACCUUAAGAGUAAAUAGUGCCGCCUUUUAUGGUGACCUUAAUCAGCUCAAGGGUUUGAUCCGAGCAGGAGCCGAUCCAAAGAACACGGAUUACGAUGGGCGAUCUCCUUUGCAUCUUGCAGCUUCCAAAGGGUACGAAGACGUUGCGCAGUUCCUCAUCCACGAAGGGGCUGAUAUCGAUCUUGCCGAUAAAUUUGGGAACACGCCACUGCUGGAGGCAGUGAAGCAGGGGCAUGACCGGGUGGCCACGCUGCUCUUCGGCAGAGGAGCCAAGCUGAACCUCGAGAACGCCGGCAGCCACCUCUGCAUGGCGGUGUCGAAGGGGGACUCCGAUUUCGUUCGGAGGGCUCUGGCCUACGGCGCUGACCCAGACUCGAAAGACUACGACCACCGCAGUCCUCUCCACAUAGCCGCCGCAGAUGGCCUGUACAUGAUGGCCAAGAUGCUGGUAGACGCAGGCGCAAGCGUGUUCGCAACUGACAGGUGGGGCACUACUCCGCUGGACGAAGGGCGCAAGUCGGGCAGCAAGCCGCUCAUGAUGCUGCUGGAGCAGGCGAAAGCCGACGAGCUGUCCAAGUUCCCCGCCCGCGGUGAAGAAGUCAGAGAUAGAAUGCACCCACGACGAUGCUCCGUGUUCCCCAGCCAUCCAUGGGACGAUGGCGCCGAGCGAAGAGAGGGGGUGACGCUGUGGAUUCCACACACGAUCGACGGGCUCAUCAGGUCGGCACAGGAGAAGCUGGGACUGUCCGGCUCAGGCCUGCGCCUGCUCGGCGAGGACGGCGCGAGGGUGCAGGAGGUCGACAUGGUCCAUGAUGGCCAGAAGCUCUAUCUGGUCGGAGGCGAUGACGGCGUGGGGCAGAGCGAGUAG